RNAcentral lists this unclassified non-coding RNA (240 nucleotides) under soil metagenome. RNAcentral describes it as "partial contains 5.8S ribosomal RNA, internal transcribed spacer 2, and large subunit ribosomal RNA". The record is from RNAcentral.
AACGGUCUAUACCUGCGGUACCUGCGGAAGGAUCAUUAUAGAGUGGUAAACCCUCCGUAAAAGGGGGGGACCUCCUGUCCUUUGUAGGCUCUUUUUUAAAGGGCUUUUUUAAUUUUCUGCUUCGGUGGGGUUAUCCCACCGGAACAACCUCAAAACUCUGAUCAAAAAAUCGUUCUGUCUGAGAACCUUUUAUAAUAAAAAAAACUUUCAGCAACGGAUCUCUAGAUCGGAAGAGCACAC